GCAGGAGGUUCGACUCGAGCGAAGCGAGAGAACGUUGCGUCAGCAACGGCCCGCAGGGCGAGUCACGCAGUGGCGAGUCAUCCUCUAUCACCGACCA
RNAcentral lists this small RNA (97 nucleotides) under Salmonella enterica. RNAcentral describes it as "partial RtT sRNA". It matches the Rfam family "RtT RNA", at positions 35 to 130 of the family's 130-position model. Rfam says of the family: This family represents a bacterial cis-regulatory element known as RtT RNA. The exact function of RtT is unknown although it is thought that it may be involved in changing the cellular response in relation to amino acid starvation. Lineage: Bacteria; Pseudomonadati; Pseudomonadota; Gammaproteobacteria; Enterobacterales; Enterobacteriaceae. The record is from RNAcentral.